AUCUAGAGAUGGGAAUCGAACCCACAGUGUUCCGCUUACCGGAAAGAUGCCAUGUCCACUAGACUACCCUAAA
Molecule: transfer RNA, 73 nt
Filed under: Cordylochernes scorpioides
Lineage: Eukaryota; Metazoa; Arthropoda; Arachnida; Pseudoscorpiones; Chernetidae
Description: tRNA-Thr
Source: RNAcentral